Molecule: ribosomal RNA, 700 nt
Filed under: uncultured bacterium
Lineage: Bacteria
Description: bacterial SSU rRNA
Rfam family: Bacterial small subunit ribosomal RNA
Source: RNAcentral
GAAAGCGUGGGGAGCAAACGGGAUUAGAUACCCCGGUAGUCACGCCGUAAACGAUGUCUACUAGCCGUUGGAGGACUUGAUCCUUUAGUGGCGCAGCUAACGCGAUAAGUAGACCGCCUGGGGGAGUACGGUCGCAAGAUUAAAACUCAAAUGAAUUGACGGGGGCCCGCACAAGCGGUGGAGCAUGUGGUUUAAUUCGAAGCAACGCGAAGAACCUUACCUACUCUUGACAUCCAGUGAACUUUUGAGAGAUCAAUUGGUGCCUUCGGGAACACUGAGACAGGUGCUGCAUGGUUGUCGUCAGCUCGUGUUGUGAAAUGUUGGGUUAAGUCCCGUAACGAGCGCAACCCUUGUCCUUAGUUACCAUCAUUAAGUUGGGGACUCUAAGGAGACUGCCGGUGACAAACCGGAGGAAGGCGGGGACGACGUCAAGUCAUCAUGGCCCUUACGAGUAGGGCUACACACGUGCUACAAUGGCAUGUACAAAGGGUUGCCAAGCCGCGAGGUGGAGCUAAUCCCAUAAAGCAUGUCGUAGUCCGGAUUGGAGUCUGCAACUCGACUCCAUGAAGUCGGAAUCGCUAGUAAUCGUGAAUCAGAAUGUCACGGUGAAUACGUUCCCGGGCCUUGUACACACCGCCCGUCAUACCAUGGGAGUGGGUUGCUCCAGAAGUAGAUAGCUUAACCUUCGGGAGGGCGUUUA